CCUACGGGUGGCAGCAGUGGGGGAUAUUGCACAAUGGGGGGAACCCUGAUGCAGCGACGCCGCGUGGGUGAAGAAGCGCCUCGGCGCGUAAAGCCCUGUCAGCAGGGAAGAAAAUGACGGUACCUGCAGAAGAAGCCCCGGCUAACUACGUGCCAGCAGCCGCGGUAGUACGUAGGGGGCAAGCGUUAUCCGGAUUUACUGGGUGUAAAGGGGGCGCAGACGGCGAUGCAAGCCAGGAGUGAAAGCCCGGGGCCCAACCCCGGGACUGCUCUUGGAACUGCGUGGCUGGAGUGCAGGAGGGGCAGGCGGAAUUCCUGGUGUAGCGGUGAAAGGCGUAAAUAUCAGGAGGAACACCGGUGGCGAAGGCGGCCUGCUGGACUGCAACUGACGUUGAGGCCCGAAAGCGUGGGGAGCAAACAGGAUUAGAUACCCUUGUAGUC
Molecule: ribosomal RNA, 440 nt
Filed under: uncultured bacterium
Lineage: Bacteria
Description: partial 16S ribosomal RNA
Rfam family: Bacterial small subunit ribosomal RNA
Source: RNAcentral